Molecule: long non-coding RNA, 266 nt
Organism: Suricata suricatta (meerkat)
Lineage: Eukaryota; Metazoa; Chordata; Mammalia; Carnivora; Herpestidae
Exons: 3
Source: RefSeq, a predicted model, not a curated record
CACUGAGGUGGUCCUCAGAUAAACCAGGAAGAGACAAGGGCGUUCCAGAAAGAGGUGACACCUUGGGAACUGCAGGGAUACAGGUGGAGAUUUCAAAACAGUCACCGACCAGGAAGUGAGAAGCGGGACUAUGGCCGCCGCAAUGAAGGGGCGGCAUGUCUCAACCAAGGCGCCUCAACAAUGGAGUUCAGGAGAUGUCAGUUAAAUGAAUGAAAGACCUGCAGAUAUACUCUCUCAGGAAGACAUACUGUCUUGGAAAGAUAUGU